Molecule: long non-coding RNA, 617 nt
Filed under: Manihot esculenta (cassava)
Lineage: Eukaryota; Viridiplantae; Streptophyta; Magnoliopsida; Malpighiales; Euphorbiaceae
Description: long non-coding RNA (MESC_LNC010012)
Source: RNAcentral
AUAUUUCCAUUGAAGUUCCCUUGUUCCAUGUUCAGUUUUAGGUACAAAUUCACAAUUUGCCAAUUGUUUAUGUAAUAAGAGUGUGGCUGUGUUGUUGGGCAACUUUGUAGGUGGUUUUAAUGCAUAUUAUUUCACAAUAAUUACUAGGGGAUUGCAACAAUAUAUGCGUGCAAGGGAGUUGCUUGACAUUCGGAAGCCACUCAAAAGGACUUAAAAAGUGUUAAAUAAGGAUGGGCGUGUUGUUCAAGCUCUGUUUCGCUAUGAGAGGCUCCUACAUUCUGUUAUUUAUGUGGGUGUAUUGGUCAUUCGGAGCGGUACUGUGAGCAUCUUUUCUCCACCAAUAUAGCUCAUCUUCAACAUGGUUGGAGGACCGUAAUGGAGAGCAUGUGGUGGAUGGUUUCAACUUUCAACCUUAGUUACUCACUUGCCAGGAGAAGAUGACAUGGAAGGUGUUCAAACUUUAACCCGCCUGAAGGAUCAAAUUAUGGACCUCGAGAGAAUGAAAUUGGUUCAAAAGAUGUGUUCAUUGAGUUGGAAGAUAGCAAUAAAUCGCCUCUAAUUGAUUUUACGGUCCCACUAGAGUGAGUAGUAUUCGAUUAAAUAAAAAAAAAUCGAUC